This is a long non-coding RNA of Aphis gossypii (cotton aphid), 4116 nucleotides long. RefSeq lists it as uncharacterized. NCBI's taxonomy places the organism in Eukaryota, Metazoa, Arthropoda, Insecta, Hemiptera, Aphididae. The record is from RefSeq and is a predicted model, not a curated record. The transcript has 2 exons.
AGCAACUUAUAAGGGUUGAAAAAACGAAACUUUAAACUCCAUAAACUAACUUAGAACAAAUAAGGCUUAAAGAAUCUAAUAAUAUAACUUUUAUUGAGCAAAAAGGGCUCAAUAAUUGUGUAUAGAGAACGAAUACAAGCAAAAAAAACAUUUAUUUUCAUAUAAUAAGAAUAAAAAUUAAAUUCAUUCUUUGUACCGACAAUAAGUUUUUGCAGUUCUCUCCUAUAGUCCUAUUCAUUUAAAAGACUAGCGUAUAUCACCGAUACCUAAAUAUUUGUGCUUAUCUGUUUGUUUUUUCUUAUUUUUUGUUAUGAUACUUUUUAUGUUUACGAUUAGUCUUUUCUCUGAUUUUUGUUUAAUUUUUUUUUUUUACAUUGUUCUUAAUUUUUGAUUUUAGUAAGGCGUGCAGCUCUUCAUCUGAUAUCUGAAGCCUCUGCCCUCUUGUUAACCAUUUUAAAAUUUACAAACGAACUCUAACGUUGGUUGCCAUGGUGAUUAUUUGACAAAACUAUAUUUUCAAAACUUCUUUUGUAUAUAACAGAUAAAGUAUAAGUGAUAUUUUCAGAAAGAAUUAGUUCAACCUACCGUACUACUAAUACUAAUAGUAAUUUAAAUAAAUUAUUAAAUGCCCUUAAAAAUUGAAGCCGACACUAUUUCCGAUCAAACCCGUUUUUCAUAUGCGUCAAUGAUUUAUCAUUAAUUUCAAAUUUACAUUAUGAUAUUAUUGCCGUAUCUAUUACAGUGAUCUACUUGAUGACGACGUACAUUUGACAUCUACAAUACAGCAGAGCUACUUCCCAGUUUGUGUUUGUUGUAUCUAACAUUGUUUUUAUUAUACUUUAUAUUAAAUAUUGUAUUAUCAAUACUUUGAAUAAUCAUCGGCGACUACGUCAAACUAUACCAAAGAUAAUCGUAACUAUAUUAUACACAACCGAGAUGAAUUUACGGGAAGUCUAAGUGUUACACCACCCGACCACCGCACACUGGCGUGAUGUGAUGACUCGUCGUGAGCUCCUGACAUAAUUGUGAAAUCGAUUUUAAACUAUCCACCACUGUUGAAGGGCUAGUACGAAAUCGUAAUAAAUAUACAGGGUGAUUUACCGAGCGUGCUCACCUCUUUUUUUCUUCUUCAACAACGUAGUAAUUCAAAAUUUGAUUUUUAUAAUUUUAAAAUUUAAUAUCAUUUAAUACAGAUAUCAGAUAAUAGAGCAUAUUUGUAAAUUCUUGAAAUAUUUUGCACGAUUUAAUGAGUGUUCUGCAAAAACACAACCUCUGUUUUUCAAGUGACAAUUCCAAAAUCGAAAUCGAAAUUUAAAACUAGCAGUUUUUGAGUUAGGUAACUUUAUUUUCUAAGCAUAAUAAGUCAAUGAUGAUAAGUUUGAAAAAUAUUAUGGAAACUGUGAUAAUUUGAAAAUUAAAGAAAUUAAUAUUUCUAAUUUAAAAAAUGGUUCAACUAUAAUAAAUACUAAAUCCAAAAUUACAUAUAUUUUAUAUUUUUAUAAAGACUUCUAUCGUCAGUAUAUAAACAUUUUAGUAACUGAGAAACUAUAAUAUAUGUUCAAACUUUGAUAAGUAUCCACUUAUCCACUUAUCCAUUUUAAAAAAAUGUUCAUUAAUUAAUAAUUUAUAGUAAAUACUAUAUAGUACUAUACUGAAUUUUUCUCAUUUGAAAAAUAGAAGUUUGUAUAGACAUAAAACUCUCUUUAAAUUUAAAAAAAACUCAAGAUUUUAUAAAUAUAUAUUUGAAAAUUCAAAAUAUUAACAUUUAAAUAAAUUCAUUAUUCAAUUUAAAAAAUGGAGAUAAACACGUUUGUUGAAUCACCCUGUGUGCGAUGGCUUACAAUGAAGAGUGUAUUCCCAAUGAAGAACGGCCACCCAACCAUGAGAAAGUAUGAAUCGGAUAUUACGAGCAGAUACGAUAUUAAAAUAAAAUCUUAAAGUAGAGGGUAUUUGUCUUUAAAAAUGCUGACUAAAAUUUAAAAUGCUCAAUUUUUGUUAACAUGAAUAAUAAUUAUACAAUAAAUUUAUAUUUAAUCGUUAUAAAACCAUACUAUCAAAUUUUAAAUUUUAAAAAAUGUACACAUUGAUAUGAAAGCACUUCUUUAACAUACAAAUUACUCUGCAUAUUGUCUAUAUAUGUAUAUACUAUAUGUUUAUUUAUUAUACAUAUAUACUAUAUAAUAGUGACACCCGGGGGAAAAAGAUAUUAUUGAAUGGUAUUGUAGAGUAAAUUUGUCGAAAAAAAGUAGUACACACAAUAAUACGAUGAGUGAUGACGUAAAUAUACGAAAAUAGAAAUACCCUAGUAACGCUAUCUGUCUAAUAAAAUAAAAUAAAAAUAAUUUACCGGUUGUAGUGGGAUGAUACGGAGUAUAAUAAUACUAUGUCCGUAUUUUGUUAGUAAAUUAUAGACUCUAAACUAAAAUACGAUGAUUUACGUGUUUUUUCCACAUAAAACGUUCUAACGAAUAAAAUAAUAAAAAGCACAAACUUCGAUAUCGAACUGUAUGUGCGAUAAAAAAAUACAAUAUUUUAGAGCAUGUUGAUUUUACAACUAAAACGGUUUUUAUGGUAGAAUUUCGACAAAUAAUCAACGAUAUUAUUCAUAGUAAUUGUGUCAAUUUUUUUUUUAUUCGCAUUUUAUUAUUAUUUGUUUUAUUCAAAAUUAUCUCUUCAUAUUCAAAUUAUAGUAUUUCAACAAAUAAAUAACAAUUUGUCCUUCGCAGAUCAUCGAUAUCCAAACUAUCCGUUGUAAUUUUUGCUACUUAACAUGAUCAAUGCAUUUUAUCGUUGGUUGUCCAUUUUGAAUCUUAAGUACCUACAUUUCAUUAAUUUUAAUUUCCUUUAAACGCACUUGUACAGUUGCAGUAGUAAUAGCAUUCUUGUUGCAAGAACAUCGUCUAUAGCCUGGCAAUACGCGUAAACGAUAUAACACUCUGACGGACGGUUUUAGCGACGGCGCAGCGUCGUUUGAAAUCGAUGUUCGGACGUUCCUCGGUGCCCGCCGAAUCAGCGUAGUAUUGACGUAUUUGCAAGUCGUCCCGCCGUUUUUUGUUUGUUUUUUUUUAUCGUAUAAAACACCAACGGCGCGUCGUUUGUGACUGACACGCAUAUAGGUAUAGAAAUUCUGUGGGCCAUACCGUUAAGUACGACUUUCCGGCCGUGGCGGUGGUUUCCGUUUACCGCCAAAUAAGUGACCCUUGCCUGAUUGUUUAUCGUUCAUGAAAAGUUAUAUUCUGAUUUUCAACAAGAAUAAUAUUUUUUUUAGAACGCAGUGUGUCAUCAUAUAAUUGUUAUUAUUAUUUCAUUACAACAGGAAAUGGUUAUAGGGUAUUUAGGUGCUAAGGAAAGCUUCAGUCGAUAUUGUGACAAUAUUAACUACAAAAAAUGUUGUUGAAUUAAUUACUUAAUCAUAUUUAUUGAAUUUUCUUAUAUGUUUUCUAGAAAUAUUGAAGUGAUAGCGAUAACUAGUACUCAUGAUGCCAGUACAUAUACUAUAUUUGCACCUCAAUUUUAUAAGACCGGUUAACUAAAUGAUUCAUGAACUGAGAUACCUUGAUAUUAAUUAUAAAUACCUAUUAAUAUAAUUGAACACUAAAACAAGUUUGUAUAUCUUUCUUAUAAUAUUUACAAAAUAUUCCAAGAUACAUAAAGAAACUAUAAAAAAUAAACACUUACCUUUGAAAUAUUCACAAGAAUAACAAAAAAAAAAUAUUUCCUAUGAACUCUGUGUUUUAUGAAUCAUUUAAAUUUUUUACUAAUUUCAAUACCUACGUAGGUAGUAUAUACUCAAUGAAGAUAAAUAAAAUCAUAAGACCCUAGACUUAAAUAAUGCCAAAAAAUACUGACAGAACGGCUUAAAAAUGUAAUCAUUACUAGGUAAGAACCUAAAUGUACUCUUCACCGUAAAUAUAGUAGGUACAUUUUUUAUUCGAAAAAAUUUUUAUUUUCACAGAAUAACUUUUUCAAAUUUAUAUCUGAUGUACUGAUGUGCAUUAUUUUUGUUUUUAAUAAUAAUUGAAAUCGGUGGACAAUUAACGCAGUUACAUAUAAUUAUAUAAAAUAAAUUUUUAAAAAAUAUAUCAUAUUCGAGACCAUUACAUUAUUAAUUAUAAA